CCUGGGAACUGCGUUNUGAACUGGGUGACUAGAGUGUGUCAGAGGGAGGUAGAAUUCCACGUGUAGCAGUGAAAUGCGUAGAGAUGUGGAGGAAUACCGAUGGCGAAGGCAGCNUCCUGGGAUAACACUGACGUUCAUGCCCGAAAGCGUGGGUAGCAAACAGGAUUAGAUACCCUGGUAGUCCACGCCCUAAACGAUGUCGAUUAGCUGUUGGGCAGCAUGACUGCUUAGUAGCGAAGCUAACGCGUGAAAUCGACCGCCUGGGGAGUACGGUCGCAAGAUUAAAACUCAAAGGAAUUGACGGGGACCCGCACAAGCGGUGGAUGAUGUGGAUUAAUUCGAUGCAACGCGAAGAACCUUACCUGGUCUUGACAUGUGCGGAACCCUCCAGAGACGGAGGGGUGCCUUCGGGAGCCGUAACACAGGUGCUGCAUGGCUGUCGUCAGCUCGUGUCGUGAGAUGUUGGGUUAAGUCCCGCAACGAGCGCAGCCCUUGUCAUUAGUUGCCAUCAUUAAGUUGGGCACUCUAAUGAGACUGCCGGUGACAAGCCGGAGGAAGGUGGGGAUGACGUCAAGUCCUCAUGGCCCUUAUGACCAGGGCUUCACACGUCAUACAAUGGUCGGUACAGAGGGUAGCCAAGCCGCGAGGUGGAGCCAAUCUCACAAAACCGAUCGUAGUCCGGAUUGCACUCUGCAACUCGAGUGCAUGA
Molecule: ribosomal RNA, 709 nt
Filed under: uncultured bacterium
Lineage: Bacteria
Description: bacterial SSU rRNA
Rfam family: Bacterial small subunit ribosomal RNA
Source: RNAcentral